GCCUGGGUAGCUCAGUUGGUUAAGCAUCUGACUUAGGCUCAGGUCAUGAUCUCGCAGUCAGUGAGUUCGAGCCCCACGUCAGGCU
Molecule: transfer RNA, 85 nt
Filed under: Felis catus (domestic cat)
Lineage: Eukaryota; Metazoa; Chordata; Mammalia; Carnivora; Felidae
Rfam family: tRNA
About the family: Transfer RNA (tRNA) molecules are approximately 80 nucleotides in length.
Source: Rfam by way of RNAcentral